Molecule: ribosomal RNA, 158 nt
Filed under: Begonia roxburghii
Lineage: Eukaryota; Viridiplantae; Streptophyta; Magnoliopsida; Cucurbitales; Begoniaceae
Description: 5.8S ribosomal RNA
Rfam family: 5.8S ribosomal RNA
About the family: 5.8S ribosomal RNA (5.8S rRNA) is a component of the large subunit of the eukaryotic ribosome. It is transcribed by RNA polymerase I as part of the 45S precursor that also contains 18S and 28S rRNA. Functionally, it is thought that 5.8S rRNA may be involved in ribosome translocation.
Source: RNAcentral
GACUCUCGACAACGGAUAUCUCGGCUCUCGCAUCGAUGAAGAACGUAGUGAAAUGCGAUACUUGGUGUGAAUUGCAGAAUCCCGUGAACCAUCGAGUUUUUGAACGCAAGUUGCGCCCGAAGUCUUCUGGCCGAGGGCACGUCUGCCUGGGCGUCACG